RNAcentral lists this ribosomal RNA (1351 nucleotides) under uncultured marine eukaryote. Its description in RNAcentral is "SSU rRNA". It matches the Rfam family "Eukaryotic small subunit ribosomal RNA", at positions 409 to 1776 of the family's 1831-position model. The record is from RNAcentral.
GGCAUUACAGGGAGGAGCAGGCGCGCAAUUACCCAAUCCUGACUCAGGGAGGUAGUGACAAGAAAUAACAAUAAACCGGCAUCAGCCGGUUUAAUUGGAAUGAGUACAAUUUAAACAUCUUAACGAGGAACAAUUGGAGGGCAAGUCUGGUGCCAGCAGCCGCGGUAAUUCCAGCUCCAAUAGCGUAUACUAAAGUUGUUGCAGUUAAAAAGCUCGUAGUUGGAUUUCUGCGGGAGCGGGGCGGCACACCCACUAUGUGGGUUGUAGCUAGCACUUCUCCUGCAUCCUGCCGCGAACCGUGCUACCAUUAGUUUGGUGGCGCCGGGGAUCGGCUCGUUUACUUUGAGAAAAAUAGAGUGUUCAAAGCAGGCCACACGCCUUGAAUAAGUUAGCAUGGAAUAAUGAUUAAGGACUUCGGUUCUAUUUUGUUGGUGUUCGGGACUGAAGUAAUGAUUGAUAGGGACAGUUGGGGCGGUCCGUAUUCCAAAGCGAGAGGUGAAAUUCUUAGACCUUCGGAAGACGAACAGCUGCGAAAGCGUUCCGCAAGGAUGUUCCCUUUGAUCAAGAACGAAAGUUGGGGGAUCGAAGACGAUCAGAUACCGUCGUAGUCUCAACUAUAAACUAUACCAGCUAGGGAUCGGCCAACGUUUCUUUAUACCGACUUGGUCGGCACCUUAUGAGAAAUCAAAGCAUCUGGGUUCCGGGGGGAGUAUGGUCGCAAGGCUGAAACUUAAAGGAAUUGACGGAAGGGCACCACCAGCCGUGGAGCCUGCGGCUUAUUUUGACUCAACACGGGAAAACUUACCAGGUCCAGACAUAGUAAGGAUUGACAGAUUGAUAGCUCUUUCUUGAUUCUGUGGGUGGUGGUGCAUGGCCGUUCUUAGUUGGUGGAGUGAUUUGUCUGGUUAAUUCCGUUAACGAACGAGACCCCAGCCUGCUAAAUAGCGCGGCUGAGCUUUGCUCGGUACGAGCUUCUUAGAGGGACUAUGAUGCGCGAUAGCACAUGGAAGUUUGGGGCAAUAACAGGUCUGUGAUGCCCUUAGAUGUUCUGGGCCGCACGCGGGCUACACUGGCGCCUGCAUCGAGCAUAUCAGCUGGCCCGAGAGGGUCUUGGCUAAUCUUUUGAACCGGCGCCGUGCUUGGGAUUGACCUUUGCAAUUGUUGGUCAUGCAACGAGGAAUGCCUUGUAAACGCGAGUCAUCAGCUCGCAUUGAAUACGUCCCUGCCCUUUGUACACACCGCCCGUCGCUCCUACCGAUGAAUGUUCCGAUGAAAUUUUCGGAGAGUGCCUGUGAAGCAGGCUCUGCCUGUCGAACGGGAUGCUCAAAGUCACUUAAAUCUAAACAUUGGG